CGCGGCCUAUCAGCUUGUUGGUGGGGUAAUGGCCUACCAAGGCGACGACUGGUAGCCGGCCUGAGAGGGCGACCGGCCACACUGGGACUGAGACACGGCCCAGACUCCUACGGGAGGCAGCAGUGGGGAAUAUUGUACAAUGGGCGAAAGCCUGAUGCAGCGACGCCGCGUGAGGGAUGACGGCCUUCGGGUUGUAAACCUCUUUCAGCAGGGAAGAAGCGCAAGUGACGGUACCUGCAGAAGAAGCACCGGCUAACUACGUGCCAGCAGCCGCGGUAAUACGUAGGGUGCGAGCGUUGUCCGGAAUUAUUGGGCGUAAAGAGCUCGUAGGCGGCUUGUCACGUCGGGUGUGAAAGCCCGGGGCUUAACCCCGGGUCUGCAUUCGAUACGGGCAGGCUUGAGUGUGGUAGGGGAGAUCGGAAUUCCUGGUGUAGCGGUGAAAUGCGCAGAUAUCAGGAGGAACACCGGUGGCGAAGGCGGAUCUCUGGGCCAUUACUGACGCUGAGGAGCGAAAGCGUGGGGAGCGAACAGGAUUAGAUACCCUGGUAGUCCACGCCGUAAACGUUGGGAACUAGGUGUUGGCGACAUUCCACGUCGUCGGUGCCGCAGCUAACGCAUUAAGUUCCCCGCCUGGGGAGUACGG
This 643-nucleotide ribosomal RNA is filed under the name uncultured Actinomycetes bacterium. Its description in RNAcentral is "bacterial SSU rRNA". It matches the Rfam family "Bacterial small subunit ribosomal RNA", at positions 232 to 885 of the family's 1533-position model. Lineage: Bacteria; Bacillati; Actinomycetota; Actinomycetes. The record is from RNAcentral.